This 466-nucleotide ribosomal RNA is filed under the name uncultured bacterium. RNAcentral's name for it is "partial 16S ribosomal RNA". It matches the Rfam family "Bacterial small subunit ribosomal RNA", at positions 34 to 507 of the family's 1533-position model. The record is from RNAcentral.
UCUGCCCGCUGGCGGCGUGCUUAACACAUGCAAGUCGAACGAUGAAGCCCAGCUUGCUGGGUGGAUUAGUGGCGAACGGGUGAGUAACACGUGAGUAACCUGCCCUUAACUCUGGGAUAAGCCUGGGAAACUGGGUCUAAUACCGGAUAGGAGCGUCCACCGCAUGGUGGGUGUUGGAAAGAUUUAUCGGUUUUGGAUGGACUCGCGGCCUAUCAGCUUGUUGGUGAGGUAAUGGCUCACCAAGGCGACGACGGGUAGCCGGCCUGAGAGGGUGACCGGCCACACUGGGACUGAGACACGGCCCAGACUCCUACGGGAGGCAGCAGUGGGGAAUAUUGCACAAUGGGCGCAAGCCUGAUGCAGCGACGCCGCGUGAGGGAUGACGGCCUUCGGGUUGUAAACCUCUUUCAGUAGGGAAGAAGCGAAAGUGACGGUACCUGCAGAAGAAGCACCGGCUAACUACGUG